ACACAUUCUCAACUGCCAGGGGUCCCCAGACAACAAAGAGGGGUGGCCUCUUCUUCCUUAGAAUUAUUCAAAGUCCCCAAUUCCUAGGAAGCCCACCAAACCUAGCUACUACCACUCUGCUUGUCAUACAUCAAUCAGCUGCUUCCUACAGCUCCAGCUGUUGCUACCCUGUCCCCAGGGGAAACUCCUGCGUUGUCCUGCGAGAAAGCUUUCUCUCAUUUGGAGCCGUAAGUAGCAAAAUGUUCUACCUUUCACUUUCCCAGCGUGCCUUUGUGCUGUGUCCUGUCAUCCGAAGAAUCUAUCAUCAUACCUGAUAUCUUAAGAAUCAUAGAAUAGCCACAUAUUGUAUUAUUCCAUUUAUGUGAAAUAUUCAGAAUGGGAAAACCAUAGAGAAGAAAAAUCAGAUUUGUGGCUGCCAGGGGCCAGAAGGAAGGACAAAGGGGAGUGACAAGUGGGCGUGUUCCAUUUGGGUUGGUGAAAAAUUUCUGCAGUUAGAUACAGUGAUGGUUGCACAUCAUCCAUCUACUUAAUACCACUAUGUCAUACACCUUAAAAGUGCUAAAAUGGCAAAUUUUCUUAUGUGUAUUUUACUGCAAUUUUUAAAAAACUACAAGACAAAAAUAACAUAAAAUGGAGCCUAAGGAAAAAAAGGAGAGACUGCAUGUACAUAUUUUAAAGUAUGUCAGUUUCCUGUGAGUGCAAGAAAACAAAGUCUUGCCUUCUCUAACAGAGGGUACUUUUUUCCUAGAAAUAAACUGACUUUAAUGCAUUUAUUGAAGAAUAAAUAAUACUCUAAUGCCAACAGAACAGCUAAUAUUAAAGAUAAAUAAGACAGAUGUUGGUGGACAUGUGGGAUAAACCUAAUUCUCACCCACUGAUGGUGGACAGGUAAGAUGGUACAACUACUUCGAAAAAACCCUGGGAGUUCUCUUCCUGGCUCAGCAGUUAAUGAACCCAACUAGGAUCCAUGAGGAUUCGGGUUUGAUCCUUGGCCUUGCUCAGUGGUUUGAGGCUCCAACGUUGCCAUGAGCUGUGGUGUAUAUUGCAGACGGGACUCAGAUUCUGUGUGGCUGUGGCUGUGGUGUAGGCUGGUGGCUGUAGCUCUGAUUCACCCCCUAGCCUGGGAGCCUCCAUAUGCCCCGGGUCUGGCCCUAAAAUAGCAGAAACAAAACAAAACAAAAAACAACCUGAUAGCUUCUUAUGUAACUAAACAUAUGCCUAUCCUAUGACCCACAAAUUCCAUUCCUAGGUAUUUACCCAAGAUAAAUGAAAACAAAUGUCCACAAAAAGACUUGUACAAAGAACAUUCACAGCAGCUUUAUUCAUAAGAGCCUGAAAUGGAAACAGCUCAACUGUUUGGCAGAUGGAGAAUCAAUCCCAAGCUAUGUUCUUCACACAGUGGUCUACUAUUCAGGAAAAAAGAGAAGCGAACUAUUGAUACAACAUGAAUGAAUCCUAAAACAUUAUACUGAGUAAAAGAAACCUUGCAUAAAGAGUAUAUACUGAAUGUUGAAUCCUUAUGUUUUACACCUGAAACUCAUACAUAGUUGUAAGUCAACUAUAUUCAAUUUUUUUAUAAAAGAGCACUUUUUUGGUGACAAAAUUUCAGAACAAUGGUCGCCUAAGGGCAGAUGGGGGUAGGGCUUUAUUGGGAGAGAGUGUGAGGGAAUUUCCUGUGUGUGAUGUUUUCUGUUCUGUGUCUUGUUAGUGAUUUAGUUUGCACAUGUGUUAAUAUUUGCUGGACCUCACGAUCCACUUAAGAACUGUGCUUUCACUUUAUUUAAAUCUUACCUUUAAAGAAACAAAAGGAAACUAUAAAAAUAUUGAAUUCUAGUUAGUGAUAUACAUGCUGGAGUCUUUUGGGGGGAUGUAUGCUAAUGUCUGCAACUUGCUUUGAAAUGUGUAAAAAACGAGAUGAUUGGUAAAUGGGAACUGAGAUGAAUAAAUGCAUAGGUUAAGUAAGAAUAGUAAAAUAUGAAUGGUAGAAUUUAGGUGGUAUAUAUAUGGAUGUUCACUGAAGCACUUUUUUUACCUUUUAUGUGUGUUUGGAAAUUGUUUAUAAUAAGAUAUAGGGAGAAAUAAUAAAAUACACAUCAUCAAACUCACCCUUAAUGUUUGGAGUCUUAAAAUGCAGCAAGGAAAUAAGACAUAUUUUUUGAAAACAGGCCAAGUACCCCAAAUUCUAAGAACUGUUUUUUUUGGUCUAAAAAUCACCACAAGCAGCCACAAAGCUUCUUUGUCCGACUUGACUGUGCUGACUUUUGACAGCUGGGCCAAAAUGUUUGUAGCCAAAGGCAUACAAGCUUCUUAGUAUCAAUUACUAAGCUUAAAUGGCCAAUUACACUGUGAACUGAUGAAACCCUCUAAUUUGCUGGAAUGGAUUCUUUAUUGCUUGAGAGUAGCCACUCUGCAACUUUGACAGCCCUAACCGCAGGAAUUUACCCAGAACACAGAUUGGGAUUUGAACCCACCGUUUUAAAUAAGAAUUACUCACCCUGUGUCUGGAUUCACGAAGGUCCAGGUUCCUUAUGCCUCCGCGCUGGAAUUCAGCGAGAGACAAAGUGAUAGGCAAGAAAGAGAUUUAUUAAGAUAAAAUGCUUGCGAGAGAUGCCAGCGGGCAGGCAUGGAAGCUUCUGCCUGAGGAGCUGCUGGAGCCUUUUAUCAUCCAAGGGUCGUGGGGGUUGGAAGGGCCCACCUCUUCCUUUCUGGGAGUAGUAGCUCCUCCCUAGUAUCUAGGAGGGUGUGUAUUCAAAUCAGCUGAAGGGUGGUCCUCAAACUCCUGCCCUUGGGCUGACUCUGAAAGCAGGCCUCAUCCCAAUCCCCACCCAACGACCUGAGGCAAUUCUCGCACCUCCACUAGUCCAGCAAGCCUGCCUUGUGCUGAUGGCUUUCUUGAACCUACAGUGGUCUCCCCACAUACCCCAGGUUUCCCUCUUUAUCUGUGAUCUCCAACUGGGACUUCUAAAACCACCUGUGCCUCCUCCAACCAUCUGUGCCUCCUCCAUCCCUAUCAACAUCAGUCUCAAUCUCCUUCCCAGCCAAUAUUCACCUGUGGUCCUUUGUAGCCUCCUGGUUUUCCCUCUUCCUUCCUUUCACCCUUUGUUGCUGUUACCUUCCUUAAGGAAGAGCACAAGGGAGUUCCUGCUGUGGCUCAUCGGAAACAAAUCUGAACUGAAUCCAUGAGGAUGCAGGUUCGAUCCCUGGCCUAGCUCAAUAGGUUAAGGAUCCGGCGUUGCCGUGAGCUGUGGUGUAGGUCACAGAUGUGGCUCGGAUUCUGAGUUUCUGGGGUUGUAGUGCAGGCUGGCAGCUGCAGCUCCCAUUCGACCCCUAGCCUGGGAACUUCCAUAUGCUGCAGGUGUGG
Molecule: long non-coding RNA, 3361 nt
Filed under: Sus scrofa (pig)
Lineage: Eukaryota; Metazoa; Chordata; Mammalia; Artiodactyla; Suidae
Description: lncRNA (ENSSSCG00000059098.1)
Source: RNAcentral